CACUGUGCGCACUACCUUCGGCGCACCACCGCCUUCUGACCGGCGAAAUCAUAACCGUCCCUCGCCGGCGACCCACGUCACAGCCCGUCGCUGCUUCCUCUCUCUCUCACUCUCGCUCGCACACUCCUCUGUUUCGCGUGUUGUUGCUGCUGCUGUCGUUCCGCCGCCGCCGGAGCUCCGGAGAUCUACGGUCGUCGCUGGUCUGUUUCCACCGCCGACAUUCCGUUCCGUCGCCUGCGCUUCUCGCCGGAGUUCGCCCAGCCCGUGUUUUUCGUCCCUGCUCAAGAGAGCAGAGGUACCGAUGGUGAUAACGGGAUGGCGUAGCAGUGAGGAUUUAAUUAAUAUCUAGAUUAUCUAGACUCUCAUGGUUUUAAUUUAAGUUUAUGUCAAAACUCUGAUUAGUAACUAAGUUUCUAUUAAUCAAGACUAAUGUUGGAUCUAUAUUAUGCUUCAUGUUAUAAAAUGUUUAAGUUUAUGAUUUUAUGU
This is a long non-coding RNA of Beta vulgaris subsp. vulgaris (sugar beet), 486 nucleotides long. RefSeq lists it as uncharacterized. The transcript has 2 exons. Lineage: Eukaryota; Viridiplantae; Streptophyta; Magnoliopsida; Caryophyllales; Amaranthaceae. The record is from RefSeq and is a predicted model, not a curated record.